RNAcentral lists this ribosomal RNA (433 nucleotides) under uncultured bacterium. Its description in RNAcentral is "bacterial SSU rRNA". It matches the Rfam family "Bacterial small subunit ribosomal RNA", at positions 28 to 443 of the family's 1533-position model. The record is from RNAcentral.
GAUGAACGCUGGCGGCGUGCUUAACACAUGCAAGUCGAGCGAAGCACUUAGGAAAGAUUCUUCGGAUGAUUUCCUUUGUGACUGAGCGGCGGACGGGUGAGUAACGCGUGGGUAACCUGCCUCAUACAGGGGGAUAACAGUUAGAAAUGACUGCUAAUACCGCAUAAGACCACGGUACCGCAUGGUACAGUGGUAAAAACUCCGGUGGUAUGAGAUGGACCCGCGUCUGAUUAGGUAGUUGGUGGGGUAACGGCCUACCAAGCCGACGAUCAGUAGCCGACCUGAGAGGGUGACCGGCCACAUUGGGACUGAGACACGGCCCAGACUCCUACGGGAGGCAGCAGUGGGGAAUAUUGCACAAUGGAGGAAACUCUGAUGCAGCGACGCCGCGUGAAGGAUGAAGUAUUUCGGUAUGUAAACUUCUAUCAGCAGG